CUACACACCCCGUACCAGCUCCCAUGGAAAGAGUCGUCUUUUAACAGGAAGUUUCAAGUAUUGAACAGUUCACGAGGUACGGCCAGAUUUAUGCCUCAUAGGAUGCCUUAGAUUCUCGACGCCCCAGUGAGUAUCCAAUCGCUUGAUCCAUUCACAGCCCGGUAAUCGAGGUGCGACCUAUCGAUAUGGGUAGGCCAUGCAGUGUCAUAGUCAGAUUGAAGUCGGGCUCACUCGACUGCAUGAACUGCGACUAGAGUACUUAGAGGGGGUAGAUUUCAGGUGUAGCGUGAAUGCGUAGAGAUCUGAAGAUACAGUGGCGAAGCGCCCCCUGACAGAUACUGACACUCAGAUGCGAAAGCGUGGGAGCAAACAGGAUUAGAUACCCUGGUAGUCACGCCGUAAACGAUGUCUACUUGGAGGUUGUGCCCUGAGCCGUGGCUUUCGGAGCUAACGCGUUAAGUAGACCGCCUGGGGAGUACGGUCGCAAGAUUAAAACUCAAAUGAAUUGACGGGGGCCCGCACAAGCGGUGGAGCAUGUGGUUUAAUUCGAUGCAACGCGAAGAACCUUACCUACUCUUGACAUCCAGAGAAGCCAGCGGAGACGCAGGUGUGCCUUCGGGAGCUCUGAGACAGGUGCUGCAUGGCUGUCGUCAGCUCGUGUUGUGAAAUGUUGGGUUAAGUCCCGCAACGAGCGCAACCCUUAUCCUUGUUUGCCAGCGAGUAAUGUCGGGAACUCCAGGGAGACUGCCGGUGAUAAACCGGAGGAAGGUGGGGACGACGUCAAGUCAUCAUGGCCCUUACGAGUAGGGCUACACACGUGCUACAAUGGCGCAUACAGAGGGCUGCGAACUUGCGAGAGUGAGCGAAUCCCAAAAAGUGCGUCGUAGUCCGGAUUGGAGUCUGCAACUCGACUCCAUGAAGUCGGAAUCGCUAGUAAUCGUAGAUCAGAAUGCUACGGUGAAUACGUUCCCGGGCCUUGUACACACCGCCCGUUACACCAUGGGAGUGGGCUGCAAAAGAAGUGGGUAGUUUAACCUUCGGGAGGACGCUCACCACUCUGUGGUUCAUGACUGGGGUGAAGUCGUAACAAGGUAA
This 1095-nucleotide ribosomal RNA is filed under the name uncultured bacterium. Its description in RNAcentral is "bacterial SSU rRNA". The stretch from base 131 to 1095 matches the Rfam family "Bacterial small subunit ribosomal RNA". The record is from RNAcentral.